Molecule: ribosomal RNA, 697 nt
Filed under: uncultured Bacteroidales bacterium
Lineage: Bacteria; Pseudomonadati; Bacteroidota; Bacteroidia; Bacteroidales
Description: bacterial SSU rRNA
Rfam family: Bacterial small subunit ribosomal RNA
Source: RNAcentral
UAACACAUGCAAGUCGAGGGGCAGCAUGGUCUUAGCUUGCUAAGGCCGAUGGCGACCGGCGCACGGGUGAGUAACACGUAUCCAACCUGCCGUCUACUCUUGGACAGCCUUCUGAAAGGAAGAUUAAUACAAGAUGGCAUCAUGAGUCCGCAUGUUCACAUGAUUAAAGGUAUUCCGGUAGACGAUGGGGAUGCGUUCCAUUAGAUAGUAGGCGGGGUAACGGCCCACCUAGUCUUCGAUGGAUAGGGGUUCUGAGAGGAAGGUCCCCCACAUUGGAACUGAGACACGGUCCAAACUCCUACGGGAGGCAGCAGUGAGGAAUAUUGGUCAAUGGGCGAGAGCCUGAACCAGCCAAGUAGCGUGAAGGAUGACUGCCCUAUGGGUUGUAAACUUCUUUUAUAAAGGAAUAAAGUCGGGUAUGGAUACCCGUUUGCAUGUACUUUAUGAAUAAGGAUCGGCUAACUCCGUGCCAGCAGCCGCGGUAAUACGGAGGAUCCGAGCGUUAUCCGGAUUUAUUGGGUUUAAAGGGAGCGUAGAUGGAUGUUUAAGUCAGUUGUGAAAGUUUGCGGCUCAACCGUAAAAUUGCAGUUGAUACUGGAUAUCUUGAGUGCAGUUGAGGCAGGCGGAAUUCGUGGUGUAGCGGUGAAAUGCUUAGAUAUCACGAAGAACUCCGAUUGCGAAGGCAGCCUGCUAAGCU